RNAcentral lists this ribosomal RNA (407 nucleotides) under uncultured bacterium. RNAcentral's name for it is "partial 16S ribosomal RNA". It matches the Rfam family "Bacterial small subunit ribosomal RNA", at positions 30 to 526 of the family's 1533-position model. The record is from RNAcentral.
AUUGAACGCUGGCGGCAGGCCUAACACAUGCAAGUCGAGCGGAGCGGCGGACGGGUGAGUAAUGCCUAGGAAUCUGCCUGGUCGUGGUGGAUAACGUUCGGAAACGGGCGCUAAUACUGCUAACUAUCAGAUGAGCCUGGGUGGGAUUAGCUAGUGGGUGGGGUAAAGGCCUACCAAGGCGACGAUCCGUAACUGGUCCGAGAGGAUGAUCAGUCACACUGGAACUGAGACACGGUCCAGACUCCGACGGGAGGCAGCAGUGGGGAAUAUUGGACAAUGGGCGAAAGCCUGAUCCAGCCAUGCCGCGUGUGUGAAGAAGGUCUUCGGAUUGUAAAGCACUUUAAGUUGGGAGGCGUUACCAACAGAAUAAGCACCGGCUAACUUCGUGCCAGCAGCCGCGGUAAUAC